This 815-nucleotide unclassified non-coding RNA is filed under the name Arabidopsis thaliana (thale cress). RNAcentral's name for it is "3' external transcribed spacer". The record is from RNAcentral. Lineage: Eukaryota; Viridiplantae; Streptophyta; Magnoliopsida; Brassicales; Brassicaceae.
CCCUCCCCUAAAUCACUCCAAAAAAAACAAUCCCCAAUUCUACACAAGUGUUUCUACACUAACAAAGCAACAGCUCCUUAACGAAUUCCCAACUUUACACGAGCUCGUCUCUCGAGGUUAAAUGUUAUUACUUGGUAAGAUUCCGGACCUCGCCAAGUGUUUUGAAAACCCGCAACGCUCGCAAAGGUGCAUAGUGAGAAUAAUAAGUGAAGAGACAGACUUGUCCAAAACGCCCACCACGAAGGUGCAAGUGAGAGAAGAGUAAGUCAAGAGAUAGACUUGUCCAAAAAGAAACGGAAGAGAAAGCUUGGGGAGACGCUCACGAAGGUGCAUAGUGAGAAGAGUAAGUCAAGAGAUAGACUUGUUCAAAAAGAAACAGAAGAGAAUGCUUGGGGUUACACUCACGAAGGUGCAUAGUGAGAAGAGUAAGUCAAGAGACAGACUUGUUCAAAAAGAAACGAAAGAGAAUGCUUGGGGAGAUAGAAGUGUGAGAUAGUUCUCAAGCUAAGAAAGUUGUAAAAGCUAAGAACUAGCAAGUAAUCGUCCAGGAUUCCUCCACCAGGACUUGAAAUCGUCGAGGGAAAAAAAUCGGUUCCGAGGAAUCGUCGAUCCGGACUUGGAAUCGUCGAGAAAAGUUUACCGGGUCCGAGGAUUUGUCGACCAGGAGUGGAAAUCGUCGAGAAAAAUCUAUCGGGUCCGAGGAAUCGUCGACCAGGACGAGGAAUCGUCGACCGGGUCCGAGGAUUUGUCGACCAGGGGUUGAAAUCGUCGACCAGGUCCGAGACUUCAUCGACCGGGUCCGAGGAUUCGUCGAC